Long non-coding RNA from Solenopsis invicta (red fire ant), 1423 nucleotides. RefSeq lists it as uncharacterized. Lineage: Eukaryota; Metazoa; Arthropoda; Insecta; Hymenoptera; Formicidae. The record is from RefSeq and is a predicted model, not a curated record. The transcript has 3 exons.
AAGCGUUGGCACAUGUGUGUUGCUUCAGAUGGAUCAUAUUUUGAAGGAGAUAAAAUUAAUUUGCCUGAAAUUUAACUCUAUUUUGUUUUAUUUAAAAAUUCCCGGUACUUUCUGAUCAUAGGGUAUAUGGCUAUGAAGAUUGGGGCAACAAUCGCACAAGCAAAGUCGCAGAUCAUGCUUUGGUAUUUAUGUUGCGUGGAUUAAAUACGGGGUGGAAAAUGCCAAUAUCCUACAAAUUUUGCUCGAAAACGACAAAUGCAGCCCAACUAAUUAGAUAUAUCAAAGAACACGUAUGUACAUAAAAUAAGCAAAGCAGGUUUCCACAUAAUUGCAACAGUCUGUGACCAAGGAGCUACAAAUACAGCCGCUAUUAAACACUUAUUAUUACAAACAAAUAUGAAACGGAAUUUAGAAAAAAGAACACAAGCUCAAACUUUUGAAAUUGGAAAUGUAGAGAUUGUUCCUUUAUACGAUCCUCCUCAUCUUAUUAAAGGAAUAAGAAACAAUUUCUUAACCAAAGAUCUUGCGAUUAGCUGCAACAGUUUUCAACGUGUAGCAUCGUGAGAUAUCGUGAAGACAGCAUGGAUAAUAGAUAAGAAGAUAAAUAUAAAACGUCCACAAUUUAAAAAAAUAACGCAAGAACAUAUUAUUGAGGACAAAAUUUAAAAAAUGCGUGUCAAGUAUGCAACGCAAGUGCUGAGUGGGACGGUUGCAAGCUGCAUUGAGACACUUACAAGAUCAAGAUGUGUCGUGCAGAUUGAUAAUAAUGAGGUAAAAAUUGAUAUGGAAGAAGGAAUCGCAACAGCAGAGGUAGUGAAUUUUUUUAAUGAUUUAUUCGACUCCGUGAACAGCAGUGAAACAACGAUUUGCGAUCUCCAGUGGUAGAGGACAAUGUACAUCAUGUGUUUUGGACGAAUGCAAAAGGUAUGUUCAGAAAUUUGUCUUACGUUGACAAGUAACACGCGAACUUAUUAAAUCAGUGCCAAGUUUAAAAAAUUGGUAACUUUUUCGGUCAAAUUAGAAGUCAUGCGGUCCGUAAUACAAAUCCAACACCUAAACAAUUUGAAGAUUCUUUCAUUACACUUCUAGUGAGUAACAUAAAAUCGGUAUCUAUUGUUGGCGGAAAUUGUGAAGCUAGCCAAGAUUCCUUCAUGUUAUUUUCCCUGGAAGAGUAUUUGGAAGAUAAUCUUUCAAAUGUUGAAGUUAGUGAUGAUAACAAACCGCAUGAAAUGUUUACUAAUGUUGUUAUUAGCAAAGAAUCAAGUACGGAAUUUUUACCAAAUUAUUUAGAUGAAGUUAUUACCGUCAUUGUCAAAGAACUUAAUUAUUGUGAAGAAUGUAAUGAUAGUUUAAAAAGUAAUGAAUUUUCAGUGUUUGCAAAACAAAUAGUAAGAAGUAUUAUUAAAUUGUUAGACACGCGAUC